This 187-nucleotide non-coding RNA is filed under the name Bacillus sp. MBGLi79. Its description in RNAcentral is "6S RNA". It matches the Rfam family "6S / SsrS RNA". From Rfam's summary of the family: E. coli 6S RNA was the first non coding RNA to be sequenced, but its function was unknown until recently. Lineage: Bacteria; Bacillati; Bacillota; Bacilli; Caryophanales; Bacillaceae. The record is from RNAcentral.
AUUACGCUGCAUUGUACGUAAUGAUAAUUAAGUUUUAACCUUUAAGCUGUAAUAGGGAGUUUUAUAUCGAAGCUGGAAUGUCAUGCCUCCAUUGCUGAGGACGACAGGAACGUUUCUGCAAACACCCACUUUGAGGAGUGGUGGUUUAAAACUUUCUUACUUGCAUACGGCAAGAUGUAGCGAAAGC